CAGUAGCCACGGUAAUACGUAGGGUGCAAGCGUUAAUCGGAAUUACUUGGCGUAAAGCGUGCGCAGGCGGUUAUAUAAGACAGAUGUGAAAUCCCCGGGCUCAACCUGGGAACUGCAUUUGUGACUGUAUAGCUAGAGUACGGCAGAGGGGGAUGGAAUUCCGCGUGUAGCAGUGAAAUGCGUAGAUAUGCGGAGGAACACCGAUGGCGAAGGCAAUCCCCUGGGCCUGUACUGACGCUCAUGCACGAAAGCGUGGGGAGCAAACAGGAUUAGAUACCCCCGUAGUCCCUGUCUCUUAUAC
RNAcentral lists this ribosomal RNA (301 nucleotides) under uncultured bacterium. RNAcentral's name for it is "partial 16S ribosomal RNA". It matches the Rfam family "Bacterial small subunit ribosomal RNA", at positions 509 to 807 of the family's 1533-position model. The record is from RNAcentral.